UAUAUAUAGGUGUUUUGUGCACGUAGGAUUUUGAUUCCUAAGGAGGAAUUUACAUUUCAUAUAUAA
Molecule: transfer RNA, 66 nt
Filed under: Artemia sp.
Lineage: Eukaryota; Metazoa; Arthropoda; Branchiopoda; Anostraca; Artemiidae
Also listed under: 4 other names
Description: tRNA-Gln
Source: RNAcentral